Molecule: ribosomal RNA, 714 nt
Filed under: Enterobacter hormaechei
Lineage: Bacteria; Pseudomonadati; Pseudomonadota; Gammaproteobacteria; Enterobacterales; Enterobacteriaceae
Description: bacterial SSU rRNA
Rfam family: Bacterial small subunit ribosomal RNA
Source: RNAcentral
ACACAUGCAAGUCGAACGGUAACAGGAAGCAGCUUGCUGCUUCGCUGACGAGUGGCGGACGGGUGAGUAAUGUCUGGGAAACUGCCUGAUGGAGGGGGAUAACUACUGGAAACGGUAGCUAAUACCGCAUAACGUCGCAAGACCAAAGAGGGGGACCUUCGGGCCUCUUGCCAUCGGAUGUGCCCAGAUGGGAUUAGCUAGUAGGUGGGGUAACGGCUCACCUAGGCGACGAUCCCUAGCUGGUCUGAGAGGAUGACCAGCCACACUGGAACUGAGACACGGUCCAGACUCCUACGGGAGGCAGCAGUGGGGAAUAUUGCACAAUGGGCGCAAGCCUGAUGCAGCCAUGCCGCGUGUAUGAAGAAGGCCUUCGGGUUGUAAAGUACUUUCAGCGGGGAGGAAGGCGAUAAGGUUAAUAACCUUGUCGAUUGACGUUACCCGCAGAAGAAGCACCGGCUAACUCCGUGCCAGCAGCCGCGGUAAUACGGAGGGUGCAAGCGUUAAUCGGAAUUACUGGGCGUAAAGCGCACGCAGGCGGUCUGUCAAGUCGGAUGUGAAAUCCCCGGGCUCAACCUGGGAACUGCAUUCGAAACUGGCAGGCUAGAGUCUUGUAGAGGGGGGUAGAAUUCCAGGUGUAGCGGUGAAAUGCGUAGAGAUGCUGGAGGAAUACCGGUGGCGAAGGCGGCCCCCUGGACAAAGACUGACGCUCAGGUG